Molecule: long non-coding RNA, 549 nt
Organism: Lontra canadensis (Northern American river otter)
Lineage: Eukaryota; Metazoa; Chordata; Mammalia; Carnivora; Mustelidae
Exons: 3
Source: RefSeq, a predicted model, not a curated record
UUCAGUGUGGCUGGGGCAGAGCCCCACAGGACGUCAUAAAGUCUGUCACUCUUGCUCCGACAGUCUGUUUCCACAUGUUCUCUGUCUCUAUGUCUCAAUUUGCUAUGUUACGGGUUUUUCCCUGAUUUUUCCUGCUGCUGACUACUUCGUUCGUGUGGCAAAUGAAAAUAGCUACCAAUCCCCUCAUUUGCAUUUUCCUUUCAUCUGGUGAUUUAAGAAGAAACAAGAACAUCUCCUCCAAAGCUCUGGGAGAAGAAAUAAUGGGAAGAACAUUAAUUGACCCAGUUUGCGCCACAUGCACAUGUCUGAAUGAAUCAUGGCGACCAAGGGUAUGGAGAGGCGUGGGCCACAAGCCCUGGGGUGGAAACUCUCCCAUGUGGCAGCUGGCCCUGCCCAGGAGUAUGGUCAGACCAGAAAGAGAGUCACUGCUGAGUGAUUCUGCCAUCUGACUUCCUCAGCCCAGAGCACAUUCAAUUUAGUUCAUAAGGACGAAUGACUCUGAUUCCACAUAAAAGUGAGCUCACUCCUUUGAAAGGACAGAAAGCACAC